GAAUUCUACAAGAUUUAUGUUUUUUAAAAAAAAACUAUCUGCACAUUUUAUUAUAAAAUUUAUAUUUUAUAUUCUAUUAUAAAAAUAUUAAAUUUUAUUUUAUAUUUUUAGUAUUAAAUGAUAAGAUAAGUGAGUAAAUUCAGAUCUGAAUAAGAUUAGAUUGUAAAUCUUAGAUCUAAUUUAAAUGCAUACGAGUAGUAUUG
This 203-nucleotide long non-coding RNA is filed under the name Ananas comosus (pineapple). Its description in RNAcentral is "long non-coding RNA (ACOM_LNC025349)". Lineage: Eukaryota; Viridiplantae; Streptophyta; Magnoliopsida; Poales; Bromeliaceae. The record is from RNAcentral.